RNAcentral lists this non-coding RNA (20 nucleotides) under Arabidopsis thaliana (thale cress). The record is from RNAcentral. Lineage: Eukaryota; Viridiplantae; Streptophyta; Magnoliopsida; Brassicales; Brassicaceae.
UCGCGGGUGACAUGACCUUA